AUGAGGUGUGGGUAGCGGAGAAAUUCCAAUCGAACUCGGAGAUAGCUGGUUCUCCUCGAAAUAGCUUUAGGGCUAGCCUUGAUAGAAGUCUAACGGAGGUAAAGCACUGAAUCGUCGCGGGUCCCCAAAAGGAUACCAACACGUAUCAAACUAAGAAUGCCGUCAAGAUAUCAUCAGGAGUCAGACUACGUGAGAUAAGUCUCGUGGUCAAAAGGGAAAGAGCCCAGACCGACAGCUAAGGUCCCAAAGUACGUGUUAAGUGGAAAAGGAUGUGGGAUUUCAAAGACAACUAGGAUGUUGGCUUAGAAGCAGCCAUACAUUUAAAGAGUGCGUAAUAGCUCACUAGUCGAGAAAACCUGCGCCGAAAAUUAACGGGGCUAAAACACGACACCGAAGCUACGGAUUGAUAGUCAUUAAGACAUCAGUGGUAGAGGAGCAAUCUGUAAGGACGAAGCUCAAACGUAAGUGAGAGUGGACGAAACAGAAGAGAGAAUGCCGGAAUGAGUAGCGAGAUAUAAGUAAGAAUCUUAUAGGCCGAAUAUCUAAGGUUUCCUGAGUAAAGCUGAUCUUCUCAGGGUAAGUCGGGACCUAAGGCGAGGACGAGAGUCGUAGUCGAUGGACAACUGGUAGAGAUUCCAGUACUACAAUCAAUCAGAACUGUGGGGACACAGGAGGAUAAGCAAACCGGGGAAAGGGAAAACCCGGCUAAGUACAAAGUUUUAGUUGGUAGGCAAAACCGCCAGCGUAUGAUGAAGUACGAUAGGGACUGAAAAAGAGUAGGGAAGUUGCUGAAUCCACACUGUCGAGAAAAGCCGCUAUAGUGUUGAUUGUACCCGUACCGAAAACCGACACAGGUAGAUGAGGAGAAAAUCCACAGGCCGACGGGAGAAGUGUUGUUAAGGAACUCGGCAAAAUGACCCCGUAACUUAGGGAUAAGGGGAGCCACAGCGAUGUGGCCGCAGAAAAGAGGCUCACGCAACUGUUUAGCAAAAACAUAGGUCUCUGCGAAACCGUAAGGUGAAGUAUAGGGGCUGACACCUGCCCGGUGCUGGAAGGUCAAAAGGAGAGGUUAGCGCAAGCGAAGCUUUGAAUUCAAGCCCCAGUAAACGGCGGCCGUAACAAUAACGGUCCUAAGGUAGCGAAAUUCCUUGUCAGGUAAGUUCUGACCCGCACGAAAGGUGUAAUGAUGUGAGCACUGUCUCAACAACACGCCCGGUGAAAUUGAAGAACUAGUGAAGAUACUAGUUACCCGCAAUAGGACGGAAAGACCCCAUGGAGCUUUACUGCAAUCUAAUACUGGGAUUCGAUGAUGUAUGUACAGGAUAGGAGGGAGACGAAGAAUCCGGGACGCCAGUUUCGGAGGAGUCGACGGUGGGAUACCUCUCUUAUAUCAUUGAAUUUCUAACCUGUAUCCGUAAGCCGGAUAGGGGACAAUGUUAGGUGGGCAGUUUGACUGGGGCGGUCGCCUCCUAAAGAGUAACGGAGGCGCUCGAAGGUCACCUCAGAAUGAUUGGAAACCAUUCAAAGAGUGUAAAGGCAAAAGGUGGCUUGACUGCGAGGCCGACGGGCCGAGCAGAUACGAAAGUAGGACUUAGUGAUCCGGUGGUAAUAAGUGGGAAUGCCAUCGCUCAACGGAUAAAAGCUACCCUGGGAGAGAUCGGAAGAGCGUCGUGUAGGGAAAGAGUGUAGAUCUCGGUG
This 1698-nucleotide ribosomal RNA is filed under the name human gut metagenome. RNAcentral's name for it is "bacterial LSU rRNA". It matches the Rfam family "Bacterial large subunit ribosomal RNA", at positions 804 to 2531 of the family's 2925-position model. The record is from RNAcentral.